This is a long non-coding RNA of Oryzias melastigma (Indian medaka), 1692 nucleotides long. RefSeq lists it as uncharacterized. The record is from RefSeq and is a predicted model, not a curated record. The transcript is spliced from 4 exons. Lineage: Eukaryota; Metazoa; Chordata; Actinopteri; Beloniformes; Adrianichthyidae.
UUGUAUACUAAACUGUCCAGGGUGUUCCCAACCAAUACAGCAGGUGAGUAUGCUCUAUUAUCUCUGUGAUAAUCAGGUAUAAGAAAUAGACAGAUUAAUUUAAUUUAAACACAGGGGUGGAGCUAUGGGGGGGAGAGGGCACCAGCUACCCCCUCAAGUCAAAAUCUUUAAGUCAAUAUUAGUAUUAUUAUUGACAAAGAUUAAGACAUCAUUAAUGCAAGCUUUAGAAGCAUUAGAUAAGGCUCCUCAAAGAGUUUUUGCGGCCCUCAAUAGAUCACGACCAGCUGUACAUUGCUUGGAAAAAAUAUUUUUUUGUUUUGUUGUUUCUGGCGACAUCUGCAGGGAAAGAAGGUCAUUACACCCAGCUGUCAAUGGUACAGUGUAUUCAUUUCACCACUAGAGGGCAGACAACAUUUUCUAUGUUACUGCUUCUGCGGAGAAAGGAAGGAUGCUUACAAUAUAGGUUGUGUCUGAAUUUCGUCCCUAACCCCUAAAAGAGUGUCGGACUAUAUAGUGCUCGGGAUUUUAAAGAGAGGAGAGGAUCGACUGCAGUAGCUUUGACAAGGAGGCCCUCUACAGGUGAUGACGUCCCUCUGGUGAUUUAAGGAGAAAAAAGGCUCCUCAGUUUCUUUUUGUUCUCGGACCAGCAAUGGACACGUCUCAGGAUUUCCUAAUGGUGGAUUUUCAUCCAAAAAAACCUUCAGGAGUACCAUAUUAUAUGGAAUUUUCUUCAUUCCAUUCCUGAACCUUGUCGUCAUUCUCAUCUGGAGAAACCAGGAAGUACACCUCUGCCUCCUUUCAACCAUCAAGGAGCCAAACAUCCCUGCUCUGCACCGACUGUAAACGGCUGCCAGUAGAAGCAGACGGAGGAGGGUGCACUAAAGACUUCUUGAAGAGUGCUUGGGAUAAAUAUUCAUAUUUCUAUGCACCCACGAUGCUGGAAAAGCACCAUCUGGGACAGGCCAUAGAUUUGCAUUACAAUAUAAAUGGGAAGCUGCUGGAGCUGAAAGGGUGAUGUGAAGUCACUCAGCCAGCCCCCUCGCACUGACAGGUCGCAUCUCCCUCCCCGCGCUAGGCAGCAGGCAUUGCACUUUGUUGGUGCUCGGUAGGAUGGCGCAUUUCCCCCCACUUACUUUUUCAAACGAUCAAGCUGGAUUUUUCUUUUUUUUUUUUUUUUUUUUUGGCAUAUCUCCGUGCACAUAAACGCAGGUUCAGCACCAGCAUCUCUUUCAGAUGUGAUCUUCUGUUAACCCCCAGAGCUCUUUUUUUGCGGAAGAGUAGAUGCCCCAGAGACAUAAAAACAAGCGAAAGGUAGUGGUAAUGGCAAAUACUUUGGGUGCCUAUUAAAAUUUGUUCUACAACAUGCUUAUCUUGUGAUACUUUUAAGAAACCUACUUUUGAAAAUAGAACCGCCGCUGGAGCGAAGCGGCAGCAGUAACAAAUCCUGCCACGCGGUUAAAGGACUUGGGGUUUGCUGCAGCCUGAAUCCUGCAACUUAUUUAAAACAACAACCACAAAAAAACCUUUUUGGACGACAAAACCCUUCACAGUUUGGCAAUACACACUUUAAGUCUCCCAUGACUAUUUUUUUUUUUAUUAAAAAAAAAAAAAAAAAAAAAUCGUUGCCAGUGGUGUUUUAAUUUUGAUUAUGAAGUUUUUAACCAAAAUCUCACAAUCUAAAUGUCUUAAAAA